UGUCAGCUAGAGGCCUGAAAGAUGAAAGCCUCCUCGCUCACUCUUCUCCCAGCACUCUGCUAUUUAAAGUCAGGGUCAGAUGGUUCAUCGACCAUGCACUGGUGAUGCCAAUCUUACCUUGAAUGGAGACGUGGGUUUUACAGGAGCUCAUAGCAACCACUACACAUUGAAGUCACAAUCUUACUUUUAACACUCUGAACUCCUCUGAAUUUGUCAGCAAGAAGGAAAUCUUCCCCAGCCCUUAACCCAGGCUAAAGAAUCAAGGUAACUCCACAAAAGAUGGAGGUACCGUGUCCCCCACCCUCACUCUACAGUGGGCGGAGCUCAGCUGCAUGGCCAGGUGAAGAUGUAUAAUGUGGAAGACAGAUGGACUCUAGAAGGAAAAGCAAUCCCUCUUGUUCCUGCAACCUGACUUGCCCCUUAGAACUGCUGGGAAGGAGACAUGAAAGGAGACACGUGGAGGAGGGACUUGUAGACCACGUGGAAUAGACAGGUGGGUGAAAGACACUUGGGGAGGCUG
Long non-coding RNA from Talpa occidentalis (Iberian mole), 520 nucleotides. RefSeq lists it as uncharacterized. NCBI's taxonomy places the organism in Eukaryota, Metazoa, Chordata, Mammalia, Eulipotyphla, Talpidae. The record is from RefSeq and is a predicted model, not a curated record. The transcript is spliced from 3 exons.